UUAUACUGAUGAUGUACGUGGUCUGCUGUCCUUAGAAGGGACGUAAAUAGGACAACAUAUAAACCUUGACAACUGUGAACUUUGUGUUUAGGCUAUAAAUUUGAUGGGGGUAAGGAAGGUAUAGUAAUCUUUUUGUUCUGCAUGAAACGUUUAGUGUAUGGGAUUAUGGCCCAUGUGUAGGGUUGCUAUGAAUGACAGUACUAAUAAUUUACUUCUUUGUUUUAAGAUUGCUUUUAUAUAAACCUAUUUAUAGCAUGGAACUCCUCACAUUGCUAUGAUGUUAACAACUGCAAGGCUAAAAGCACAAAUGUUUGAACUGAGAUACCUGUUGCUCAGCCACUGAAAUACCAUUGUCUGAUACUAACAUUACUUUGCAGGUAAGGGCCCUCUCUCAAUAGAGCCUUGUGCAAAUGGUGGUUUCAGAAGCAGAGACAGAUGCCCUGUCAGAGUUACUGAGAUGGUGAUACCUUUUACUGAGGGAUCAGAGGAUAAGGGCCACAUUGCAGCACCUCUUGGAAUGACCUAAGGGAAGAAUGGCACAGUCACACUGAGGAAAAUGGAAUACGAGUAACUUACCCCUGUUAUACCCUGAAGAGCUAUAGAAACACCCAUACAGCAUUUGAGUCAUUACCAAGAAAACCUUUUUAUCAACCUGUCCUCACCUGAGGAACUUUGUGCUCCACUUCAUACAGAGUGCUUGGCUUUCAGUCUCCUUGCAGAAAAAUAACGGCUAUUAGGUAACAAGGUCUAACAGAAAAACACAACCCAGACAUGGGAAACCAGCAUGCCUGAAUCUGGUCCAAGCUGAUAAUGACCAAAGUGAUUAUUCGAUGAAAAGGUGAUGCCAAUUAGCAGUGCCUGUAUGAUUACUAGCCCUUGCCCAAGGGAGUCUGGGAACUGAAUGGGACAGGAAGGACCUGGAAGCCACAAAGCAGUUCUCUGCAAGACUGAGAAAGCAUUUAAAGAAGAAAACAGGUGGAAGCUCCACUUUUGGUGUCUGUAAGUUCCUACCUCUGGAAAUGAGCAGGAGGAGUGGAAUGGAACGCAACAAGAUGCUGCAGGACUCACUUUGGCUUUCCCAGAAAAGUUUUUAAGAUGGAAAAUCUAAAAUUGUAAGAUGGCUGCUUACUUCCCACUGCUUUCUCAUGGAAAAAUGCCAAACUAGAGUUCUUCAUGUGCUCCUUUAUUUAUGAAGGGUUUUGUAAGGUUGGGUUUUGGCAACUAUAAAUAAUAGAAUUCCACAAAAAAUAUAAGAUGCCUGUUGAAUUGCACCCGUUUUGAGAAUUAAAUUUAACUAUUUCCAAACAUAGAUGGGAUUUGUCUUUUAUUAACUGUCUUGGUACUUGCAUAUUUGAGGUAAGCGAAAUGAAAUUAGCAAAGCUUAAUUUGUCAAUUUCCAAGCUGAUUAAGUUACCAGAUGUGAAAUUUUCAGAAGUGUAUUAAGUCAGGUGCAGAAAACUGUUCCAUCCUUUUGUUGUUCUUGAACAUAACAAUGUUUGUUUUCCAUCAGCAUCUAAGUAGAAGACUUUAUUGGACUUGUAUGCUUCUGCUGAUACCCAGGAUAGGACCUAAAUCAGUUUAAUUUAGCACCUAAAUUAGUUUAAUUCAUCCUCUGUUAGUUAUGUGAAAUUCCAUCAUGAUCAUGAAUCUGCAGUGUUUCAGAUGACUAUGGAGAUUCUACAAAGACUUAAAAUAUUGUUGGAAAUAUGAAGCCAGCCCAGGGGGUAUAGGGUGUGUGAGAGCUUCCAAAUGACAUUCAAUUACUGUUACUGUACUACAGAAUUCUCUAAAUUGCUGUUUAAAUCACUUAUAUAGCUGUGCCUUUAAGUUAGAAACAUAUUUCAUUUAAUUUCAGCUCUUAUUAACUUUCUAUCCAAAUAGAAACUAUUUCCAAA
This is a long non-coding RNA of Neopsephotus bourkii (Bourke's parrot), 1895 nucleotides long. RefSeq lists it as uncharacterized. The transcript is spliced from 5 exons. NCBI's taxonomy places the organism in Eukaryota, Metazoa, Chordata, Aves, Psittaciformes, Psittacidae. The record is from RefSeq and is a predicted model, not a curated record.